Molecule: ribosomal RNA, 360 nt
Filed under: Leuconostoc citreum
Lineage: Bacteria; Bacillati; Bacillota; Bacilli; Lactobacillales; Lactobacillaceae
Description: bacterial SSU rRNA
Rfam family: Bacterial small subunit ribosomal RNA
Source: RNAcentral
UGGCGAACGGGUGAGUAACACGUGGAUAACCUGCCUCAAGGCUGGGGAUAACAUUUGGAAACAGAUGCUAAUACCGAAUAAAACUUAGUAUCGCAUGAUAUAAAGUUAAAAGGCGCUACGGCGUCACCUAGAGAUGGAUCCGCGGUGCAUUAGUUAGUUGGUGGGGUAAAGGCUUACCAAGACAAUGAUGCAUAGCCGAGUUGAGAGACUGAUCGGCCACAUUGGGACUGAGACACGGCCCAAACUCCUACGGGAGGCUGCAGUAGGGAAUCUUCCACAAUGGGCGCAAGCCUGAUGGAGCAACGCCGCGUGUGUGAUGAAGGCUUUCGGGUCGUAAAGCACUGUUGUAUGGGAAGAAAU